AAACAAAACCCGACUUCCUGUUUCUCAAGGCAAAACUCUUUCUUUGCCUAGUAUCAUGGUUUAUUAUUCAUUAGGGUUCAUAAUUGAUAAAGGCAAGAAGAGUUUCCAUCGAUCCUUUAACAAAAAAAAAAAAAAAAAAGGAAGAAGAGUUUUGUUUUUAAAUUAAGAAGAUCGAGUUUUGCAGAUCCAUCAGCAAACAAAGAAGAAGAUGAAGGUUAAAUUAUUUUCAGGGUAUUCUUUUGUUUUCAAAAUAAAAAUUCAAUAAGAUUUUAUUAUAUUUUUCUUUGUAAUUAGUAUUUUUCUAAUUAGCUAUUGUGGAUGAAAAUUUCUUCCUCCUUGAUCUUGGACAAAAUUGCACCAACAAAACAAUUAACACCUUAGGGUCAAGGCCAAGAGCCUCACGCGCCCACGAUGAAUUGGGGGGGGCUUUGGCCGAAUAACCUCCGAUGCCAAAGUUAGAAUUUAGAGAGAAAAGUGUUUGGAGAGUAUUGGGAACUUUGCAAGUGUGUUGGAAUGAUCUUUUGGUGAAAAUGGAAGCCUAUUUAUAAGGAUAGGGUGACCGGUCCCCUUUGGAUAUUUUUUAGGGUGUAACUUAUGGUUUAAUGUGUGAUUUAAUGGAUUAAUUAGGCAAUUAAUCCAUUAAUUGGUUAAUCAAUACAUUUUUGGAAUAAAUAUUUUAGGGGUUAUGUAAUUUAUAUGGGAUGUUUUGAAGGUUAUGAAAUAAUUACCUUGUGGAAAAUAUAAGAUGAGGAUGGAUGAAAUAACUUUGAAUUUGUUACCUAUUUUGGGCACUUUUGAUUUGGUUGAAGGAUGA
Molecule: long non-coding RNA, 814 nt
Filed under: Malus domestica (apple)
Lineage: Eukaryota; Viridiplantae; Streptophyta; Magnoliopsida; Rosales; Rosaceae
Description: long non-coding RNA (MDOM_LNC014943)
Source: RNAcentral